RNAcentral lists this ribosomal RNA (409 nucleotides) under bacterium. Its description in RNAcentral is "partial 16S ribosomal RNA". It matches the Rfam family "Bacterial small subunit ribosomal RNA", at positions 355 to 776 of the family's 1533-position model. The record is from RNAcentral.
UGGGGAAUAUUGCACAAUGGGCGAAAGCCUGAUGCAGCGACGCCGCGUGAGGGAUGACGGCCUUCGGGUUGUAAACCUCUUUCAGUAGGGACGAAGCGCAAGUGACGGUACCUGCAGAAGAAGCUCCGGCUAACUACGUGCCAGCAGCCGCGGUAAUACGUAGGGUGCGAGCGUUGUCCGGAAUUACUGGGCGUAAAGAGCUCGUAGGCGGUUUGUCACGUCGUCUGUGAAAUCCUAGGGCUUAACCCUGGACGUGCAGGCGAUACGGGCUGACUUGAGUACUACAGGGGAGACUGGAAUUUCUGGUGUAGCGGUGGAAUGCACAGAUAUCAGGAAGAACACCGAUGGCGAAGGCAGGUCUCUGGGUAGUAACUGACGCUGAGGAGCGAAAGCAUGGGUAGCGAACAGG